GAUGAACGCUGGCGGCGUGCCUAAUACAUGCAAGUCGAGCGAACAGAUAAGGAGCUUGCUCCUUUGACGUUAGCGGCGGACGGGUGAGUAACACGUGGGUAACCUACCUAUAAGACUGGAAUAACUCCGGGAAACCGGGGCUAAUGCCGGAUAACAUUUAGAACCGCAUGGUUCUAAAGUUAAAGAUGGUUUUGCUAUCACUUAUAGAUGGACCCGCGCCGUAUUAGCUAGUUGGUAAGGUAACGGCUUACCAAGGCAACGAUACGUAGCCGACCUGAGAGGGUGAUCGGCCACACUGGAACUGAGACACGGUCCAGACUCCUACGGGAGGCAGCAGUAGGGAAUAUUCCGCAAUGGGCGAAAGCCUGACGGAGCAACGCCGCGUGAGUGAUGAAGGUCUUCGGAUCGUAAAACUCUGUUAUUAGGGAAGAACAAAUGUGUAAGUAACUGUGCACGUCUUGACGGUACCUAAUCAGAAAGCAACGGCUAACUACGUG
RNAcentral lists this ribosomal RNA (497 nucleotides) under uncultured bacterium. Its description in RNAcentral is "partial 16S ribosomal RNA". It matches the Rfam family "Bacterial small subunit ribosomal RNA", at positions 28 to 507 of the family's 1533-position model. The record is from RNAcentral.